UUCUCAUUCUCUCUCUGUGUCUCUUUCUGUUCAUCUUCAUUUUCUCUGGUUUUUAUCUUCAAAUCUUCAUGUUUACAUGGUAUCAGAGUAGGAAAAUCUUUCGAUCCUUCUCUGUUAUGUGUUAUCGAUACUUGAUGAAGCUUUUGCUGAAGUUUUUCUUCGGUUAUCUGAGAAAAAUACUGUUCGUAUAUUUUUUUUUCGAUGAAUGUUAAUCGGUUAAUCGGGAAUUUUCUGACUGUUUCAGGCUCCGAUCCUGUAUCAGUAGAUGUUUCGGGUGAUUUUUCGACAUCUCCGGUUUUGUUCCGACGAGUUCUUCAAAUUUUAGGGUUUUCCGACUUUCGGACCUAGAGUUUUGGUGUUAUCCGAUGACUUUUUCUUCGCUUGAUGGAUGUUUUGGGUAACUUUCCGGCAUCUGUGACCUUAUUUCGGUGAGUUUCAGAACCUAGGGUUUCCGGUGUUGGACCUAGGGUUUUCUCUGUUGAUUGAAUGGCGAUCUUCUCCAGUCGCGAAGAAGGAGGGUAACUCUGUCCUUAUUUUGAGUAUUGUAUGCUUUGUAUGUGACUAUCUGGUUCCCUAUGUGAGUAUCUGGUUCCGUUAUAUUUUGCUUGUCGAAACUAUUUUUCUUUCAAACUGGUUCAUUAAUCAUGGCUUCUAAUACCAAUGCUGGUACCUCCUCCUCGGUAGACUCUACCAGCCCCCUCUUUGUCUAUUCCUGUGAUGUCCAUGGGGUCUCUCUUGUCCCUACUCCCUUCUCGGGUAGUGGUUAUGGGCGUUGGAGGAGAAAAAAGAUUGUCGCAUUAUCUGCUAAAAACAAAAUCGGAUUUGUUGACGGCUCAUGUCCUCGACCAACCACUAAUGUGGCUCAACAAAGGCUGUG
RNAcentral lists this long non-coding RNA (877 nucleotides) under Nicotiana benthamiana. Its description in RNAcentral is "long non-coding RNA (NBEN_LNC015652)". The record is from RNAcentral. Lineage: Eukaryota; Viridiplantae; Streptophyta; Magnoliopsida; Solanales; Solanaceae.